Molecule: ribosomal RNA, 386 nt
Filed under: uncultured bacterium
Lineage: Bacteria
Description: bacterial SSU rRNA
Rfam family: Bacterial small subunit ribosomal RNA
Source: RNAcentral
AUUGAACGCUGGCGGCAUGCCUUACACAUGCAAGUCGAACGGUAGAGUAGCAAUACUUGAGAGUGGCGAACGGGUGAGUAAUAUAUCGGAACGUGCCCAGUCGUGGGGGGAUAACGUAGAGAAAUUUACGCUAAUACCGCAUACGAUCUAAGGAUGAAAGCGGGGGAUUCGCAAGAACCUCGCGCGAUUGGAGCGGCUGAUAUCAGAUUAGGUUGUUGGUGAGGUAAAAGCUCACCAAGCCGACGAUCUGUAGCUGGUUUGAGAGAACGACCAGCCACACUGGGACUGAGACACGGCCCAGACUCCUACGGGAGGCAGCAGUGGGGAAUUUUUGGGACAAUGGGCGAAAGCCUGAUCCAGCAAUGCCGCGUGCAGGAAGAAGGCCU